UGCCAGCAGCCGCGGUAAUACGGAAGGUGCGAGCGUUAAUCGGAAUUACUGGGCGUAAAGCGCACGUAGGUGGCUUGGUAAGUCGGAUGUGAAAGCCCUGGGCUCAACCUGGGAUUGUCAUUUGAUACUGCAUUGCUAGAGUAUGGUAGAGGGAAGUGGAAUUUCCGGUGUAGCGGUGAAAUGCGUAGAUAUCGGAAGGAACACCAGUGGCGAAGGCGGCUUCCUGGACCAUAACUGACACUGAGGUGCGAAAGCGUGGGGAGCAAACAGGAUUAGAUA
This 279-nucleotide ribosomal RNA is filed under the name uncultured bacterium. RNAcentral's name for it is "partial 16S ribosomal RNA". It matches the Rfam family "Bacterial small subunit ribosomal RNA", at positions 506 to 784 of the family's 1533-position model. The record is from RNAcentral.